Molecule: ribosomal RNA, 491 nt
Filed under: Bacillus sp. (in: firmicutes)
Lineage: Bacteria; Bacillati; Bacillota; Bacilli; Caryophanales; Bacillaceae
Description: bacterial SSU rRNA
Rfam family: Bacterial small subunit ribosomal RNA
Source: RNAcentral
GGGGUAACCUUGCCCAUAAGACUGGGAUAACUCCGGGAAACCGGGGCUAAUACCGGAUAACAUUUUGAACCGCAUGGUUCGAAAUUGAAAGGCGGCUUCGGCUGUCACUUAUGGAUGGACCCGCGUCGCAUUAGCUAGUUGGUGAGGUAACGGCUCACCAAGGCAACGAUGCGUAGCCGACCUGAGAGGGUGAUCGGCCACACUGGGACUGAGACACGGCCCAGACUCCUACGGGAGGCAGCAGUAGGGAAUCUUCCGCAAUGGACGAAAGUCUGACGGAGCAACGCCGCGUGAGUGAUGAAGGCUUUCGGGUCGUAAAACUCUGUUGUUAGGGAAGAACAAGUGCUAGUUGAAUAAGCUGGCACCUUGACGGUACCUAACCAGAAAGCCACGGCUAACUACGUGCCAGCAGCCGCGGUAAUACGUAGGUGGCAAGCGUUAUCCGGAAUUAUUGGGCGUAAAGCGCGCGCAGGUGGUUUCUUAAGUCUGAU